Lolium perenne is the source of this 4216-nucleotide long non-coding RNA. RefSeq lists it as uncharacterized. Lineage: Eukaryota; Viridiplantae; Streptophyta; Magnoliopsida; Poales; Poaceae. The record is from RefSeq and is a predicted model, not a curated record.
AAGGAAUAGGUUCGUUAUUCUGCCAAUACGUCAGACACCUUCGUCGUCCCACUUCGUCGCGCGUUAUCGCGGCCGAAUGGGCCAAGCCCAACAAAUCCAUCGCACACACUACAAUACUACAUCGCCUCCCUCACGAGUCACGAACCAUGGAACCAGCGCCGCCGCUUCCUAGCUAGGGUUGGACGGAGGGCCGGCCACGGAGUUGGAGAUGCAGAGGACGAACGGGAGCACAGGGGGUGCGUCGCUCCACGAUGGUGGUCGUCUAACUCCGGUCCACUUCCCCGUCCGCGCGGCCGGAUCUCCACCCGCUAAACUUCCCCGACCAGAUUAAGCAGUUGUUCCUCCCCGAUCAGUUCGUCUACCUCGAGAUGCAACCUGUAUGCCGCUCCUGCAGUUCCUUGUAGAACUGAUCCUCCCUGGCCUACAGCCGUAGUCGUUCGUCUUCGUUCGGCCAUCAUUGAUGAAGAGAAGAAUUACAAGAGCGCGUUGCCUAAGUGCCACAUGACCACGAAGGCUGUUGAAAAAGGCAUGUGAGGAGAUCUACGAACUGAUGAAAUUUAACAUCCACAUGAAUAUCAAGGCCGGUCAAUUGGACAAACAUUUAAGAGUAUCUGUCAAGCUGCACGCAUGAUGCUGAAGGUCAAGAUUAGCAUUUUCCUGAAAUUUUCAUUAGAUGAUGGUAAUUUUUAUAGGUCUCGGGAUACCCGAUCAGUUGAAAUCUAAGAAUACGCGCAGGUACAGUCGUUUUGUUGUUCAUAGGGUAAAUAAUAAGACUGGAUACAUGUUUGUGAUAUUGCAUAAAUAGGCAUCAUUCUUCACACCAAGAGGAUGGAAAGAUUUUCUUUGACAACAUGGCAGCACCUGUUUACUAUCCAUGGCUAUACUCUGCAUCAUCAUCAAGUUUUGGGUACUUCGUGUUGCAACUUAUUUUACAAUCUUGAAUAUUGUUUUGUCAGAAAUAACUGAUGAAAGUACUAUAGUUUAAGGGAAAAUCAGUUACAUGUUGUGGGCGUGGCCAAGUUUUGUUGUUUGCAUGUUGUUAGUCACAGUUAAGACCCGCAGUUGCAAUAGAACGGGAAAAGUAUACAGAAAAGACAGUUCUUUUCAAUUUUCAUUAUCUAUAUAUUAGUAUUAGUUAGUAUAGUAUUAGUUAGUAGUAGUACUAUUCUCUUAGUUACCGAGGAGAAAGGGGGCUCAGCAGGAAGAGGAUCGUACCAUGAGAGAAGCACGAAGCUUAAAUGGUGAGUUACUUGGGUCUCUGAAACUGCAAAUACAUGGAGUAAACUACAGUCUUCAGUAAAUGAACAUAAUUUAGGAAAAUGUAUCUACACUGGCAAUUGGAUGUGCCAUAUUGGUAUCGUUCUUCUAACAGAUAAAUAUUUUUUGUUGUAAAUAAUUUGAGGCAUGAAAGACGUGCUAAUCAGCAUGAAAGUUGGAGGUUUCGGGCACUUUCUCACAAUUUUGUUGUUUUAACUAAGUCUUUGUAAGAACAGAAACUCAUUUACAAAAAUUAUUUUCAUAUCCAAUUGGAAGCACACAAAGACAUGAACUAAUUUAAGUAGUAGAGAUUUCUAAUUUUUAUAUAGAAGAAAAUUAUUUACCUAUGUUUUGUAAUUCCUAACUCCUAAGCAGGAGAUGUCUAUGGCACUUUUAGAAUCCAGCUCCCUUAAAUAUGAUCAUCAUUUCAUGUAUACUUCUCAUAUGGUAUGUCAGCGCUUACAUGCUAAGGAUUCAUCGAACUAUGACAAGCUGAUAGUGUAAAUUCACUAGGAAUGAUGGUUGAGAAUAAAUUUGAAAGGAUAAAUCACCUGAUGAAGUUCUACACUGCUUUCAACACAACAAAUGAAAUGUUUAUUUCACGCUAUUCGCUCACUACGAUCGACAUAUACUACUCAGUAUUUAGAUAAAGUGUGAGCUGAGAUUAAGAGAUUCAAAUGUGUCCGUUUAGAUUAUCUAGAGUUUGGAAAAAAUAGGCCAGUCUUGAAGCAUGGUCACCAAAUAAGAUUUUUUUUACUGACAUACUAAUAGCAUUAUGUUAACGACUUGUGACAUAUCAUUGCUUUCCAAGCAUGUAUCGCUAACAGUGUUCAGUAUCUGAUGUGAUGUAGUUCCUCUGGAGACCACACGGUCGGGUUCCCAAACUGAUGCUGACGCACGUGCGGAACCCCUCCGUGCCAGUUCCACCAUCACAAGUCCUGGGGCCGCUCCACUCUGACAAGCUAAACCUCAGAUCAUUGUACAUAAAUGAUGAGAUGAUCCAGAUUUACCCGAAGAAGUCAGCGACAAUGGCAGUGAGGGAUGUGUGAUUGCUCGGUGCUCCGAGGUGUCACGACAUUGGGGUGGUGCUGCGCGUGUUGGGCGUAUCCAAGGAGCAUGUGUGUGAUUUCAUCCUGGAAGUUGAAGGUUGAUCCAAGUCAAGAUGGAGCUCACGGUAGCUUCUAUUAGUUAGCUCAUUGAAAUUGAGCUUCUAAAAAGCUUGGUUGUGGAGCAAAAGGAUGUCUAGGCUCAAAUACAAUGUGCAAGAGGUUGCCCCUGUGCAAUCAUGGAAGAUCCGGGAGUCGGGUCAGAAGGAGUACAAGGAUCUCGAGGUUUAAAGGAAGCAUUAACCAAUUUAUUUAGGUAAUGACAUGAGUAAACAUGUUAGUUGACUGCACCUUGUUUUGCAGAUUUGAUUUGCUUAUUGUGCAUCUUAGUCUUGUGAGGAGAACUAGGUGUAGCCUUUCCCACUGCCAAAGUUUAAUUCAUGAAGGAAUCUGAAACUUUACAUUAGUUUUUGUGCAACUGGAGUGGCACAGAAGCUUGCAGGGGUACUACAUGAGCUCACAUUAGUUGUUUCCGUACCAAUGGACCUUACAGUGAAACUCCUGAGGGCGAAGCACGCACCAAGGCAAACGAUCAGGAGAGGUGGAGAUCAUCACAACUAGCUCAGUUCAGCAGGAAGAGUGAUUACAAUGAAACGACCAGGCCAGUGUGGUGUCACCUACGGCCCACAGGAAACAAUCUUAGAAAGUGACAAUAAGAAAUGGAUAAACUUAGAUGCAUAUCCUAAUAUGCCAAUUGGUAAAAAAUAGCAAUAUUAUGUUACUCCCUCCAAUCCAUAUUAAUUGACUUAAUAUAGAUGUAUCUAGAACUAAAAUGUGUCUAGAUACAUCCAUAUUAGAGUCAAUUAAUAUGAACCGGAGGGACUGAGCUUAAUUUGCCACGUUUGCCAUAGACCUAGCCAUCUGUUUUUACCGGCUGAUAGCCUGAUACACAUUUUCACCUUCAAAGCGUGGACAGGGACCAUUGUGUUUCUCAGUUGAGGCAGUUUUCCAUCUUCUCUGAUCAACCAAUUAUUGCAUCUUAUUCUCAUAGGUCUCUCAUUUAAUAUGGUUACCAAAGAUAAGCUUAUGGUCUUUGCUUAUAAGAAUAUAAGGUGCAACAAAUGUCAGCUUUCGGAGUGAAGUUCAGCUUUUCCACUUACCUUCCUUAGGGGCCGUAUACUUGGUGCCAACACGGCCCGUCGAGCCCCCCUAUGGUACUGAUUCUCUUCUUUUUUUCCUACAUUAGUUAACAACCUCUACUAUUAAAAUUGCAAAUGUUCAGAAAAAAAAGCAAGCCAGAAAAGCAUAUAAUUUUGAUUACUUGAUUAGACAUGCAUAUCUCUGUUAUGCUAUGUGCUGUGGGUUUAGAUUUUAGAACGAAUGACUAUCUAUUUGGUACACCUGCUAUCGCUCUCCUGUUGUUGAUGCUGGACGUGUCAGGUUAUCCAUAUGCCUCUCUGUAGCUAUAUUAUUGUGCUCUUUUUUGUUUUGAUUUUAAUCUAUGUCAUUCAUAUACCCUUCUAACAAAAAUUCUAACGGAUACUCUCAUGCUCAGGUUUCUACUGCCUACAGGUUUACCCGCCUGUUCAUGGACUGCCCUGUUAUCGUCCUCCUAUCGUAAUAUCUGAUCCAUGCCGUAUCAUCUCUGGGUGUGUUUUACUACCUAAAAUGCAUUCAGCUCAGUUUUUAGUGUAUUUUUUAAGCAAUCAUCUAAUAGCUAUCUUUUCCAAAUGCCUACUCUGUGCUGUGUAUUAUGCUACGUAUCUAGGAUAUACAGAUGUAUAAGAAGUUAUCUUUACUGCUUCAUGCUUUUACACCACUUUCCGCUGCUAUGGAAAGUAUAUGUGGUGCCACGCCUACACUACAACCAAACUGAAUGAAACUGUCCUUGACAGCUACAAUCUCCUUCUGAC